CAAUGUUUUGUUCCGUAUUGAUUUCCGGUUCGGCGAAAUCACGGAUGAAAAGGGAAUCGGGUGAAAGUCCCGGACAGUCCCGCUGCUGUAAGCUCCAGACAUUUACGUUUGUCUACCCUCUGCAAGGCCACUGUCUUUUAAAUGAAGAUGGGAAGGCAAGACAAACGGGAGUAAGUCAGAAGACCUGCAAAACAAAGUCAUGCUUG
RNAcentral lists this non-coding RNA (206 nucleotides) under Phocaeicola plebeius. The record is from RNAcentral. Lineage: Bacteria; Pseudomonadati; Bacteroidota; Bacteroidia; Bacteroidales; Bacteroidaceae.